GCCCUAUAACAUGCAGUCGAGCGGACAGAUGGGAGCUUGCUCCCUGAUGUUAGCGGCGGACGGCCCUUUAACACGUGGGUAACCUGCCUGUAAGACUGGGAUAACUCCGGGAAACCGGGGCUAAUACCGGAUGGUUGUUUGAACCGCAUGGUUCAAACAUAAAAGGUGGCUUCGGCUACCACUUACAGAUGGACCCGCGGCGCAUUAGCUAGUUGGUGAGGUAACGGCUCACCAAGGCAACGAUGCGUAGCCGACCUGAGAGGGUGAUCGGCCACACUGGGACUGAGACACGGCCCAGACUCCUACGGGAGGCAGCAGUAGGGAAUCUUCCGCAAUGGACGAAAGUCUGACGGAGCAACGCCGCGUGAGUGAUGAAGGUUUUCGGAUCGUAAAGCUCUGUUGUUAGGGAAGAACAAGUACCGUUCGAAUAGGGCGGUACCUUGACUGUACCUAACCAGAAAGCCACGGCUAACUACGUUCCAUCAGCC
RNAcentral lists this ribosomal RNA (488 nucleotides) under Bacillus tequilensis. RNAcentral's name for it is "bacterial SSU rRNA". It matches the Rfam family "Bacterial small subunit ribosomal RNA", at positions 46 to 516 of the family's 1533-position model. The record is from RNAcentral. Lineage: Bacteria; Bacillati; Bacillota; Bacilli; Caryophanales; Bacillaceae.